This 310-nucleotide unclassified non-coding RNA is filed under the name Hevea brasiliensis (rubber tree). The record is from RNAcentral. Lineage: Eukaryota; Viridiplantae; Streptophyta; Magnoliopsida; Malpighiales; Euphorbiaceae.
UGAACUUUCAGUCACAUUAUGCCAUGUAUAGUGAGACAUAACAAUCCCACAAAAGAAUACAGUGAGAAUUGCACUUAAAUAGAAUAGUUCAGCCAGCAUAUAUGAAAGGUAAGCCAUAAGAAUCAUUAGAGCAACCUCACGGUCAGUAGAGUGCCUGCCAAAGUAAAGCUUCUUAAUAAUGUAUGCACUGAGUAGUCCAGCUAAAACUCCCAAAAUGGUGCUUGAGAUAAACAGAUUUAGAAAGUUCCCAACAAAUUGCAUUGCGGCACUUGAAUUGAUGUGGGAGAGAUCAAAGCUCUGGAUUGCAUUG